UACGUAGGGGGCAAGCGUUGUCCGGAAUCAUUGGGCGUAAAGGGCGCGUAGGCGGCCUCUGCAAGUCGACUGUGAAAUCUCCGGGCUUAACCCGGAAAGGUCAGCCGAUACUGCAGGGCUAGAGUGCAGAAGGGGCAACUGGAAUUCCCGGUGUAGCGGUGAAAUGUGUAGAGAUCGGGAGGAACACCGGUGGCGAAGGCGGUCUUCUGGACGGUGACUGACGCUGAGGCGCGAAAGCGUGGGGAGCAAACGGG
RNAcentral lists this ribosomal RNA (254 nucleotides) under uncultured bacterium. RNAcentral describes it as "partial 16S ribosomal RNA". It matches the Rfam family "Bacterial small subunit ribosomal RNA", at positions 524 to 776 of the family's 1533-position model. The record is from RNAcentral.